Molecule: long non-coding RNA, 386 nt
Filed under: Cricetulus griseus (Chinese hamster)
Lineage: Eukaryota; Metazoa; Chordata; Mammalia; Rodentia; Cricetidae
Description: lncRNA (ENSCGRG00000024560.1)
Source: RNAcentral
CCUGGGAGGAAGGAAGGGCUCUGGAUCCUCACUCAACCCAUGGCUGUCCGAGGCUUGCUGCUCUGGAAACAAAGAGUCACUUCAAAGUCAUUGGAUCAUGCUGUACUUCACCCCAAGCCCAUAGACAGAUCCCAGCAGGAAGAUCAAGUCGAAGCUGGGGUUAUACCUGAGAUCAUCCGUCUCUCAACACCCCUGGAGCAGAGGCCGGUGGGAGCUGGGUGCAGCCUACAGCAUCCCUUUCCAACACCUUGUGCCUUUACCCUGGCAUCCAGCUACAAUGAUGAGGUGCUACAAGAUUUCUGAACCAAGCUAUUCCUGAGUGUGUGUGAGUGAGGACCCCAGAGAAGCCUCCCAGCCAAGAAAGACAUCCAAACUACAGAUCCCUG